AGAGUGAACGCUGGCGGCAGGCCUAACACAUGCAAGUCGAACGGCAGCACAGUAAGAGCUUGCUCUUAUGGGUGGCGAGUGGCGGACGGGUGAGGAAUACAUCGGAAUCUGCCUAUUUGUGGGGGAUAACGUAGGGAAACUUACGCUAAUACCGUAUACGACCUACGGGUGAAAGCGGAGGACCUUCGGGCUUCGCGCAGAUAGAUGAGCCGAUGUCGGAUUAGCUAGUUGGUGGGUAAAGGCCCACCAAGGCGACGAUCCGUAGCUGGUCUGGAGAGGAUGAUCAGCCACACUGGAACUGAGACACGGUCCAGACUCCGUACGGAGGCAGCAGUGGGGAAUAGUAGGACAAGUGGGCGACCAAGCCUGACUCCGACGCCAGUGCCGGCGUGAGUGAAGAACGGUCCGUUGGGUUAGUAAGUCGUUCUUUUAGGUUAGGGUAAAGAAAA
RNAcentral lists this ribosomal RNA (449 nucleotides) under uncultured soil bacterium. Its description in RNAcentral is "bacterial SSU rRNA". It matches the Rfam family "Bacterial small subunit ribosomal RNA", at positions 26 to 457 of the family's 1533-position model. The record is from RNAcentral.